RNAcentral lists this ribosomal RNA (252 nucleotides) under uncultured bacterium. RNAcentral's name for it is "partial 16S ribosomal RNA". It matches the Rfam family "Bacterial small subunit ribosomal RNA", at positions 83 to 334 of the family's 1533-position model. The record is from RNAcentral.
CUGGGUGGAUGAGUGGCGAACGGGUGAGUAACACGUGAGUAACCUGCCCCUUCUUUGGGAUAACGCCCGGAAACGGGUGCUAAUACUGGGUAUUCACUGGCCUUCGCAUGGGGGUUGGUGGAAAGGUUUGUUCUGGUGGGGGAUGGGCUCGCGGCCUAUCAGCUUGUUGGUGGGGUGAUGGCCUACCAAGGCUUUGACGGGUAGCCGGCCUGAGAGGGUGACCGGUCACAUUGGGACUGAGAUACGGCCCAG